GGUUAAGCGACUAAGCGUACACGGUGGAUGCCCUGGCAGUCAGAGGCGAUGAAGGGCGUGCUAAUCUGCGAUAAGCGCCGGUAAGGUGAUAUGAACCGUUAUAACCGGCGAUACCCGAAUGGGGAAACCCAGUGUGAUUCGUCACACUAUCAUUAACUGAAUCCAUAGGUUAAUGAGGCGAACCGGGGGAACUGAAACAUCUAAGUACCCCGAGGAAAAGAAAUCAACCGAGAUUCCCCCAGUAGCGGCGAGCGAACGGGGAGGAGCCCAGAGCCUGAAUCAGCAUGUGUGUUAGUGGAAGCGUCUGGAAAGGCGCGCGAUACAGGGUGACAGCCCCGUACACAAAAGCGCAUGUGCUGUGAGCUCGAUGAGUAGGGCGGGACACGUGGUAUCCUGUCUGAAUAUGGGGGGACCAUCCUCCAAGGCUAAAUACUCCUGACUGACCGAUAGUGAACCAGUACCGUGAGGGAAAGGCGAAAAGAACCCCGGCGAGGGGAGUGAAAAAGAACCUGAAACCGUGUACGUACAAGCAGUGGGAGCACAGGUUUACCUGUGUGACUGCGUACCUUUUGUAUAAUGGGUCAGCGACUUAUAUUCUGUAGCAAGGUUAACCGAAUAGGGGAGCCGGAGGGAAACCGAGUCUUAAUUGGGCGUUAAGUUGCAGGGUAUAGACCCGAAACCCGGUGAUCUAGCCAUGGGCAGGUUGAAGGUUGGGUAACACUAACUGGAGGACCGAACCGACUAAUGUUGAAAAAUUAGCGGAUGACCUGUGGCUGGGGGUGAAAGGCCAAUCAAACCGGGAGAUAGCUGGUUCUCCCCGAAAGCUAUUUAGGUAGCGCCUCGUGAAUUCAUCUCCGGGGGUAGAGCACUGUUUCGGCUAGGGGGCCAUCCCGGCUUACCAACCCGAUGCAAACUGCGAAUACCGGAGAAUGUUAUCACGGGAGACACACGGCGGGUGCUAACGUCCGUCGUGAAGAGGGAAACAACCCAGACCGCCAGCUAAGGUCCCAAAGUCAUGGUUAAGUGGGAAACGAUGUGGGAAGGCCCAGACAGCCAGGAUGUUGGCUUAGAAGCAGCCAUCAUUUAAAGAAAGCGUAAUAGCUCACUGGUCGAGUCGGCCUGCGCGGAAGAUGUAACGGGGCUAAACCAUGCACCGAAGCUGCGGCAGCGACGCUUAUGCGUUGUUGGGUAGGGGAGCGUUCUGUAAGCCUGUGAAGGUGUGUCGUGAGGCAUGCUGGAGGUAUCAGAAGUGCGAAUGCUGACAUAAGUAACGAUAAAGCGGGUGAAAAGCCCGCUCGCCGGAAGACCAAGGGUUCCUGUCCAACGUUAAUCGGGGCAGGGUGAGUCGACCCCUAAGGCGAGGCCGAAAGGCGUAGUCGAUGGGAAACGGGUUAAUAUUCCCGUACUUGGUGUUACUGCGAAGGGGGGACGGAGAAGGCUAUGUUGGCCGGGCGACGGUUGUCCCGGUUUAAGCGUGUAGGUGUGUGUUCCAGGUAAAUCCGGUU
RNAcentral lists this ribosomal RNA (1505 nucleotides) under Salmonella enterica subsp. enterica. RNAcentral describes it as "partial 23S ribosomal RNA". It matches the Rfam family "Bacterial large subunit ribosomal RNA", at positions 1 to 1547 of the family's 2925-position model. The record is from RNAcentral. RNAcentral also lists the same sequence under 1 other name. Lineage: Bacteria; Pseudomonadati; Pseudomonadota; Gammaproteobacteria; Enterobacterales; Enterobacteriaceae.